UCCGCGCGGAAGAUGUAACGGGGCUAAGCGAUGUACCGAAGCUGCGGGUGCAUAGCAAUAUGCGCGGUAGAGGAGCGUUCCGUAAGCCUGCGAAGGUGACUCGUAAGGGUUGCUGGAGGUAUCGGAAGUGCGAAUGCUGACAUGAGUAACGAUAAUGCAGGUGAAAAACCUGCACGCCGUAAGCCCAAGGUUUCCUGCGCAACGAUUUUCGGCGCAGGGUAAGUCGGAUCCUAAGGCGAGGCCGAAAGGCGUAGUCGAUGGGAAUGCAGUGAAUAUUCUGCAGCCAGUGGAUGGUGACGAAUCCCGUAUGUUGUCCGACCUUAAUGGAUUGGUUGGGCCUCGAAGGGGUUCCAGGAAAUAGCCUCCACAUCAGAUCGUACCCGAAACCGACACAGGUGGACUGGUAGAGUAUACCAAGGCGCUUGAGAGAAGUGUGCUGAAGGAACUCGGCAAAUUGCCUCCGUACCUUCGGAAGAAGGAGGCCCUCUUUCUGCGCAAGCAGUUGGAGGGGGCACAGGCCAGGGGG
This 526-nucleotide ribosomal RNA is filed under the name Aplanochytrium stocchinoi. RNAcentral describes it as "partial Bacterial large subunit ribosomal RNA". It matches the Rfam family "Bacterial large subunit ribosomal RNA", at positions 1158 to 1793 of the family's 2925-position model. The record is from RNAcentral. Lineage: Eukaryota; Bigyra; Thraustochytrida; Thraustochytriidae.